RNAcentral lists this ribosomal RNA (449 nucleotides) under uncultured bacterium. RNAcentral describes it as "partial 16S ribosomal RNA". It matches the Rfam family "Bacterial small subunit ribosomal RNA", at positions 29 to 523 of the family's 1533-position model. The record is from RNAcentral.
AGCGAACGCUGGCGGCAGGCCUAACACAUGCAAGUCGAACGAACUCUUCGGAGUUAGUGGCGGACGGGUGAGUAACACGUGGGAACGUGCCUUUCGGUUCGGAAUAACUCAGUGAAACUUGUGCUAAUACCGAAUGUGCCCUUCGGGGGAAAGAUUUAUCGCCUUUAGAGCGGCCCGCGUCCGAUUAGCUAUUUAGUGAGGUAACGGCUCACCAAGGCGACGAUCAGUAGCUGGUCUGAGAGGAUGGCCAGCCACACUGGGACUGAGACACGGCCCAGACUCCUACGGGAGGCAGCAGUGGGGAAUAUUGCGCAAUGGGCGAAAGCCUGACGCAGCCAUGCCGCGUGAAUGAUGAAGGUCUUAGGAUUGUAAAAUUCUUUCACCGGGGACGAUAAUGACGGUACCCGGAGAAGAAGCCCCGGCUAACUUCGUGCCAGCCGCCGCAGUAA